This is a long non-coding RNA of Malaclemys terrapin pileata, 1459 nucleotides long. RefSeq lists it as uncharacterized. The record is from RefSeq and is a predicted model, not a curated record. NCBI's taxonomy places the organism in Eukaryota, Metazoa, Chordata, Testudines, Emydidae. The transcript is spliced from 8 exons.
CGAGCGCGGGGCUCCCCGCUCGGGCAGGGGCAGAGGCGCGGGCCCUGGGGGCUGCGGCGCUUUGACUCGCGGUGCCCAGGCUGUGAGCGCCUCAGGCCGGAGCCUUUGGCUGCUGUGUGCGCACCUCUCGUGUCGUGCGGCUUGUGAGGAAUAACCCCUCGCUCCUGAGCCCUGCUUUGUUCACUGGCUUCACCCCCUGUCAGGCCAGGCUGCAGGGAUCUGGAAGGAGCGUGGUCAGAAAGAACAACUUCCACGUGAGCCAACCCCCCAGGCCCCAGCACACUCAGCUUUGGGCUGGUUAAAAGUCCAGAGCUCCCUUUUCGCAGCUCCAGCCAGUCUCUGUUUAAAACACGGUUCCGUUCUAUUAAUUUCAAGGAAUGUAAGACACAGAUAAGCACACCAGAGCUCACGAGGAACGGGAAGCACCGCAAGGAUAGAGAAGGGCUGUCUGCAGUAAUCACCCUCCAGGCCCUUUGCUCACAGUCUGAUGCAGCACUGGCUUGCAGGAUCUCACUGAACAUGUCAUCCUGAGUCAUCUUCUUUCUCGUCCUUAUCUGGCUCAGGGGUCCGUGGGUGUGGAGGGGAAGACUACCACAAGGCUUCAAUGACAGCAGCUGCAGAUAAAACACACAGAGGUGGUGGUCAGGGCCGGCUUUAGGACCUGCGGGGCCCAAUUUGAAUACCCGGCGGCGGUCCGGGUCUUUGGCGGCACUUCGGCGGUGGGGGGUCCUUCACUCAGCUCCAGGUCUUCCGCAGCACUGAAGGACCCCCCACUGCUGAAAUGCCGCCAAAGACCUGGAGCAGACCCCCCACCGCUGAAGUGCUGCCAAAGACCCGGAGCGGACCGCGGCCGGAGGAAGAAAUAAUCCCUACAAACUUUUGGGAGAGGACUGCAGCAUAUCUCCAUGAAAGUUUUACUGCGAUCUCUCAGGAGGAUUCAGUAACUACAGCCAACAUCUAAGUUGCUGAAACAUGAAAUUUCUUCCCUCGAAUAGACAACCUUGGAACGUCUAACCCAAAAGAAAUCCCAUUAGUCAUACACUGAGACUGUCUCUGGGAAAAUUGCUAGUGGAAGUGGGACAAAUAGGCCAGGCUCAGUUACAUCUCUUAUUCUGCUCUGUAAUGGCCUCAUGGAUAGCCAGACUAUUUUUCUUAUGAGAGUCUGAGAAGAGGAGGGUCCAACAGUUUCUGCUUCAUGAUGGGAGAAGAGCAAAAUCAGAGACAGCCCAGCAUGCAUCUCUUCCCCUCAGUGGCCAGACCAACAUCCAAACUAAUUACAUUUUUAAAGAAAAAUCAAGAAAGAAGGGAGUGUAUCAGUGAAAAGAGACGAAAGGAAGAUCGGCGCGAGAGAAAAUCUUGAAUGGAUGUGCCAGUCAAUCUGAAAGUAACUCAGGCACCCAUGAAUCUGAUCAACACACAGGAAGGGCUUGGAGCUUGAUAACAUGCUAACCUUUGAAGG